RNAcentral lists this ribosomal RNA (52 nucleotides) under Anablepsoides stagnatus. Its description in RNAcentral is "partial 16S ribosomal RNA". The record is from RNAcentral. Lineage: Eukaryota; Metazoa; Chordata; Actinopteri; Cyprinodontiformes; Rivulidae.
CGCUCAACAGCUAGCUUAAAUAACUAAUCUCAACAAACACUAUUAAUAACCC